This 939-nucleotide ribosomal RNA is filed under the name uncultured Isochrysis. Its description in RNAcentral is "partial Bacterial small subunit ribosomal RNA". It matches the Rfam family "Bacterial small subunit ribosomal RNA", at positions 1 to 942 of the family's 1533-position model. The record is from RNAcentral. Lineage: Eukaryota; Haptophyta; Isochrysidales.
UGAAGAGUUUGAUCAUGGCUCAGAUUGAACGCUGGCGGCAGGCUUAACACAUGCAAGUCGAACGAUGAUUAUCUAGCUUGCUAGAUAUGAUUAGUGGCGGACGGGUGAGUAACAUUUAGGAAUCUGCCUAGUAGUGGGGGAUAGCUCGGGGAAACUCGAAUUAAUACCGCAUACGACCUACGGGUGAAAGGGGGCGCAAGCUCUUGCUAUUAGAUGAGCCUAAAUCAGAUUAGCUAGUUGGUGGGGUAAAGGCCCACCAAGGCGACGAUCUGUAACUGGUCUGAGAGGAUGAUCAGUCACACCGGAACUGAGACACGGUCCGGACUCCUACGGGAGGCAGCAGUGGGGAAUAUUGGACAAUGGGCGAAAGCCUGAUCCAGCCAUGCCGCGUGUGUGAAGAAGGUCUUCGGAUUGUAAAGCACUUUAAGUUGGGAGGAAGGGCAGUAAAUUAAUACUUUGCUGUUUUGACGUUACCGACAGAAUAAGCACCGGCUAACUCUGUGCCAGCAGCCGCGGUAAUACAGAGGGUGCGAGCGUUAAUCGGAAUUACUGGGCGUAAAGCGAGUGUAGGUGGCUCAUUAAGUCACAUGUGAAAUCCCCGGGCUUAACCUGGGAACUGCAUGUGAUACUGGUGGUGCUAGAAUAUGUGAGAGGGAAGUAGAAUUCCAGGUGUAGCGGUGAAAUGCGUAGAGAUCUGGAGGAAUACCGAUGGCGAAGGCAGCUUCCUGGCAUAAUAUUGACACUGAGAUUCGAAAGCGUGGGUAGCAAACAGGAUUAGAUACCCUGGUAGUCCACGCCGUAAACGAUGUCUACUAGCCGUUGGGGUCCUUGAGACUUUAGUGGCGCAGUUAACGCGAUAAGUAGACCGCCUGGGGAGUACGGUCGCAAGAUUAAAACUCAAAGGAAUUGACGGGGGCCCGCACAAGCGGUGGAGCAUGC